CCCCCUCUCUCGCAAAAACGCAACCCACCAUCCGCUUAAAUCUGAAGAGUGAAGACGGACUAAAACCCUUGCUGUCGAACUUCGAUCGCAACCUUACAACGACGAGCGAACUUUAGCUGUAUUGAGUCAAUUAUCCAGCCACCUUCGCCCACCGCCACCGUCGAGACAAGAGAUAAACCAAGUUAAAAUCCAGUCGUCACAGUUUGGUUGUUCCUGCAGUCACCAUUUUCGAACUUCGAAACAUCGCAACAUGUCGGAAUCUUGUUGCAGCCGCCGCCGUUCAGGCAGUCCUCCAGCCAUUGUUGUCGAAAUUCAGAAUGUCGCAAUGCCGUCGGAAUCUUCCUCCAGCCGCUGCCGUCGAAUGCCACAAUCUUACAACGCCGUCAAAUUGCUUCUACGACAGUAAGAAAUAGGGUUUUGUAUCAUAAACAUGAAGCAGAUUACUUGUUGUUGCGAGUUAUGGGCGAACGAGAGAGGCAGGUUUUGAGUAUAUGUUGGGAUGGAAAAAGGGUGAGAAAAUAGAGGGAACAAGAACUUGAGCAAGGUGUCUGCAAUUAGUAAGUAAAACUUCUCCAAUACCUCUGGUGCAAAUUUCAAACUAAGAAGAGGCCUUGAGACAGCAGAGUGUGAAUACUUGUGGCAUAUGGUUUAGGUGACUGAUGAGUCCGAGAUCACAAAAGAGAAUGAAAAAGAAAAACAUCACCCCUGGUCAACAACUUUCACCACCAAUCAAUAAAUUAAAACGAAGCUGGAUUCAAGAUUUAUGCCUAUAGCUUCAACACCCUAAUCCCAAAUUGAAGAUACCAAACAAAGGGACACAGAAAUCAUUGUCCAAGAAAUUGUAGAAACCCCACACUAAAAAUUUCAAUUAAAAACACAGGAAUCUACACUUUGUACAAUCAUUUGCACAGGCAUCUUCAAAACAUAAAUCAAAAAAUGAUUCAUAGGGAGUGCUACAACCUUGGUAAUGCUGAAGCGGGAGCUUAAAAACGAUUGACUAUUAGGCUUAUCUUAAAAAUAUACUUUGUUUAAGAACAUAUAGGGAGUUGAAAUCCUAUUUUAGUUUUAAAUCUUGUUAGUUUCCCUUGAGUUCAGGGAUUGGAUUGAGCUGGGUGGUUGUAAUAGCCCAAUACACUUUGUUUAUUUAUUUUGUUUUGAGGAUUUGUUUGAGUUGUCUUUAGUUUGAAUUGGUUAGUUAUAUUAUAUGUUAGAUUUUGUAAAAUUCUUGUUGUACCUUAUUAGAAAGUGUUUUGAAAGUUAGCUUUUUUUGAUUGGAUAUGUAAUUAAAAUUGCUUCUCAUGUGAUUUGUAAUGGUUACAUCACAGUGCUGUUAACAUUUCUAAAGCAUCGUAUAUAGUAGAGUUAGUCGAAGGAUAAAUUUUGGUGAUGUUUCUUGGUUUAGUGUUGAAAUUUUGCCUAUUUAUAGGGAGGUAAUACACGAGUAGUAAAAAUGAUUAACACAUAAUUUAUUCGAGAUUAACUUGUUUUUCCCUAUAAAAAUGAUGAUGGAAUUUCAGUGUUCGCUUGGGUUGGGGCACACUCAAAUUUCUACUUUUGUAUUACAUCUGUAACUUUGCUUUGAAAAUGGAAGAAUAACGAACAUUCAUCAAAAUCUUGUACUUGAAUUUUUCUUGUCAUCUUGCAAUACAGUCCCGAUUCCUUUUGUGAUGAAAAUUCAUUAACUUGUUGAAGACGCUAAUGUUUGCUUCAUUUACUCAACUUUUUCUUACAAAUGAACAUUUUGAAAUAAUCGCAUUAUCAGCAAGCAAGGAUUCAGAUAUGGUGGAGGUAAGUUGACAUCUAAUUCUAAGACUUGGUUUUUGGGGUGAAAGAAAUGGUUGCGUAUUUAGUGACUCGUUUUUUCUUGUAUGAUAGGUUUUUAGAAUUGGUUCUUUUUUGUUGCUUUAUCUUGGUGCAAAGUUAAGCACUGUUUUAAGCAUUGUAGCUUAUUUUUCUUCGUUACCAACUGGAAAUCUCUAUUGCAAUCACCUAUAGGUGAUUUGGGGUUUGCCCUUUUUUCAUUUAUCAAUGAAAUGUUUCAUUAUCCAAGGAAAA
Cucumis melo (muskmelon) is the source of this 2055-nucleotide long non-coding RNA. RefSeq lists it as uncharacterized. The transcript is spliced from 2 exons. The record is from RefSeq and is a predicted model, not a curated record. Lineage: Eukaryota; Viridiplantae; Streptophyta; Magnoliopsida; Cucurbitales; Cucurbitaceae.